Molecule: ribosomal RNA, 495 nt
Filed under: uncultured bacterium
Lineage: Bacteria
Description: partial 16S ribosomal RNA
Rfam family: Bacterial small subunit ribosomal RNA
Source: RNAcentral
GAUGAACGCUGGCGGCGUGCCUAAUACAUGCAAGUCGAGCGAACGGACGAGAAGCUUGCUUCUCUGAUGUUAGCGGCGGACGGGUGAGUAACACGUGGAUAACCUACCUAUAAGACUGGGAUAACUUCGGGAAACCGGAGCUAAUACCGGAUGAUAUUUUGAACCGCAUGGUUCAAAAGUGAAAGACGGUCUUGCUGUCACUUAUAGAUGGAUCCGCGCUGCAUUAGCUAGUUGGUAAGGUAACGGCUUACCAAGGCAACGAUGCAUAGCCGACCUGAGAGGGUGAGCGGCCACACUGGAACUGAGACACGGUCCAGACUCCUACGGGAGGCAGCAGUAGGGAAUCUGCCGCAAUGGGCGAAAGCCUGACGGAGCAACGCCGCGUGAGUGAUGAAGGUCUUCGGAUCGUAAAACUCUGUUAUUAGGGAAGAACAUAUGUGUAAGUAACUGUGCACAUCUUGACGGUACCUAAUCAGAAAGCCACGGCUAACUACG